AUUUGAGUGUGUCCAUGUAAAAUGAGCAGUCUAGCAGUUUUAAUACGUUACCAUCAAGUGUGAUUGUGUCCUGAAGACCUACCUCAUUUGAAGAGUGUGUGCAUCUACCUCAAUGAAGACUUAAAGGAAUAUGUGGACUGAAAGUGGCAGAAUCUCAUCGCACACACAACAGUGGAGAUCUUUAUCAUUUUGGCUGAGGAUGCUGGUCCUGGGGACAGACCUACAGAUGUUAGUGUAGAAGUUUUGAACCUGCUGAGUGUCACAUAUAGAUUGGAUGGACUUUUUGGGUUCAUGUACACUUAAAGGGUUUUUUUUAACCAGAACUGAAAACGUUUAAUUAUCCGUGUCGUACCAAACAUUGAUUUGUCUUCGAAGUACAAAUUAAGAUACUUAAGGUGAAAUCUGAGAGCUCUCAUUCUCUAUAGACAGCAAUGGU
Molecule: long non-coding RNA, 436 nt
Organism: Danio aesculapii
Lineage: Eukaryota; Metazoa; Chordata; Actinopteri; Cypriniformes; Danionidae
Exons: 3
Source: RefSeq, a predicted model, not a curated record